UACGAAGGGUGCAAGCGUUAAUCGGAAUUACUGGGCGUAAAGCGUGCGCAGGCGGUCUUUUAAGUCAGAUGUGAAAUCCCCGGGCUUAACCUGGGAACUGCGUUUGAAACUGGAAGGCUAGAGUGUGGCAGAGGGGGGUGGAAUUCCACGUGUAGCAGUGAAAUGCGUAGAGAUGUGGAGGAACACCGAUGGCGAAGGCAGCCCCCUGGGCUAACACUGACGCUCAGGCACGAAAGCGUGGGGAGCAAACAGG
This 253-nucleotide ribosomal RNA is filed under the name uncultured bacterium. Its description in RNAcentral is "partial 16S ribosomal RNA". It matches the Rfam family "Bacterial small subunit ribosomal RNA", at positions 524 to 776 of the family's 1533-position model. The record is from RNAcentral.